This 253-nucleotide ribosomal RNA is filed under the name uncultured bacterium. RNAcentral describes it as "partial 16S ribosomal RNA". It matches the Rfam family "Bacterial small subunit ribosomal RNA", at positions 524 to 776 of the family's 1533-position model. The record is from RNAcentral.
UACGGGGGGGGUAAGCGUUGUUCGGAAUUACUGGGCGUAAAGGGCUCGUAGGCGGCCAACUAAGUCAGACGUGAAAUCCCUCAGCUUAGCUGGGGAACUGCGUCUGAUACUGGAUGGCUUGGAUUCGGGAGAGGAAUGCGGAAUUCCAGGUGUAGCGGUGAAAUGCGUAGAUAUCUGGAGGAACACCGGUGGCGAAGGCGGCAUUCUGGACCGAUAUUGACGCUGAGGAGCGAAAGCCAGGGGAGCAAACGGG